RNAcentral lists this small nucleolar RNA (114 nucleotides) under Gorilla gorilla gorilla (western lowland gorilla). RNAcentral's name for it is "Small nucleolar RNA SNORA63 (ENSGGOG00000029444.2)". Lineage: Eukaryota; Metazoa; Chordata; Mammalia; Primates; Hominidae. The record is from RNAcentral.
AUGCAGGUACUGUUACAAUACAACUGACAUGUUGUACUGUCGUUCCCCCUGCUUAAAGCACUUGAUGCUCUACCUCCAUUCCGUAGUAAGACAGAGACGCUUGGCUUCAAACAU